CUGCGGCGCCGGCUUUGUCGGCGCCGCAGUAAAACCAGGAACGCAGCCCACAAAGCCGUGUUCCUCAUCUGAAAAAUAUAUAGAUGACCAGCAGGGGCAACCGGGCUGGUGCCCGGACUAUCUGCGGGAUCCUUGGUGGCUUCAGUCGCUGUGCCAGGACUUCUUAGCCCUAGUGUCCAUGCCGAUGGUGUCCCCUUAUCGAGGGUGACAA
Molecule: regulatory RNA element, 211 nt
Rfam family: sucA-II RNA
Source: Rfam